UGGCGGACGGGUGAGUAAUGUCUGGGAAACUGCCUGAUGAGGGGGAUAACUACUGGAAACGGUAGCUAAUACCGCAUAACGUCGCAAGACCAAANAGGGGGACCUUCGGGCCUCUUGCCAUCGGAUGUGCCCAGAUGGGAUUAGCUAGUAGGUGGGGUAAAGGCUCACCUAGGCGACGAUCCCUAGCUGGUCUGAGAGGAUGACCAGCCACACUGGAACUGAGACACGGUCCAGACUCCUACGGGAGGCAGCAUG
Molecule: ribosomal RNA, 255 nt
Filed under: uncultured bacterium
Lineage: Bacteria
Description: partial 16S ribosomal RNA
Rfam family: Bacterial small subunit ribosomal RNA
Source: RNAcentral